This is a small nuclear RNA of Hibiscus syriacus, 159 nucleotides long. RefSeq annotates it as U1 spliceosomal RNA. The record is from RefSeq and is a predicted model, not a curated record. The transcript has a single exon. NCBI's taxonomy places the organism in Eukaryota, Viridiplantae, Streptophyta, Magnoliopsida, Malvales, Malvaceae.
AUAUUUACCUGGACGGGGUUAAUAGAUUGUUAUCAAGGUUCAUGGCCUAGGUAAGUGACCUCCAUUGCACUUGGGAGGAGCGCUCACCAAUGGUCUCUCACUAUAGGAGAGCCUACGUUAUAAUUUGUGGUAAUGGGUAGGGUUGAGCAACGAAACCGA